This 460-nucleotide ribosomal RNA is filed under the name uncultured bacterium. Its description in RNAcentral is "partial 16S ribosomal RNA". It matches the Rfam family "Bacterial small subunit ribosomal RNA", at positions 338 to 795 of the family's 1533-position model. The record is from RNAcentral.
CCUACGGGUGGCAGCAGUGAGGAAUAUUGGUCAAUGGACGAGAGUCUGAACCAGCCAAGUAGCGUGAAGGAUGACGGCCCUAUGGGUUGUAAACUUCUUUUAUAUGGGAAUAAAAUGUUCCACGUGUGGGAUUUUGUAUGUACCAUAUGAAUAAGGAUCGGCUAACUCCGUGCCAGCAGCCGCGGUAAUACGGAGGAUCCGAGCGUUAUCCGGAUUUAUUGGGUUUAAAGGGAGCGUAGGUGGAUUGUUAAGUCAGUUGUGAAAGUUUGCGGCUCAACCGUAGAAUUGCAGUUGAAACUGGCAGUCUUGAGUGCAGUAGAGGUAGGCGGAAUUCGUGGUGUAGCGGUGAAAUGCUUAGAUAUCACGAAGAACUCCGAUUGCGAAGGCAGUUCACUGGACUGCAACUGACGCUGAGGCUCGAAAGUGUGGGUAUCAAACAGGAUUAGAUACCCGAGUAGUC